RNAcentral lists this ribosomal RNA (253 nucleotides) under uncultured bacterium. RNAcentral's name for it is "partial 16S ribosomal RNA". It matches the Rfam family "Bacterial small subunit ribosomal RNA", at positions 524 to 776 of the family's 1533-position model. The record is from RNAcentral.
UACGUAGGGUGCGAGCGUUAAUCGGAAUUACUGGGCGUAAAGUGUGCGCAGGCGGCCGAGCAAGUCGAGUGUGAAAGCCCCGGGCUUAACUUGGGAAUUGCGCUCGAAACUACUUGGCUGGAGUGUGGCAGAGGAAGGUGGAAUUCCAGGUGUAGCGGUGAAAUGCGUAGAUAUCGGGAGGAACACCAGUGGCGAAGGCGGUUGCCUGGAGCUUUGCUGACGCUGAGGCGCGAAAGCGUGGGGAGCGAUCCGG